UGUGAGACAUGUUGGGUUGUUUGAGGGUU
RNAcentral lists this non-coding RNA (29 nucleotides) under Rattus norvegicus (Norway rat). The record is from RNAcentral. Lineage: Eukaryota; Metazoa; Chordata; Mammalia; Rodentia; Muridae.